AUUGAACGCUGGCGGCAGGCCUAACACAUGCAAGUCGAACGAGCGGCGGACGGGUGAGUAAUGUAUGGGAAUCUGCCCGAUAGAGGGGGAUAACUACUGGAAACGGUAGCUAAUACCGCAUACUAUCGGAUGUGCCCAUAUGGGAUUAGCUAGUAGGUGGGGUAAAGGCGCACCUAGGCGACGAUCCCUAGCUGGUCUGAGCGGAUGAUCAGCCACACUGGUAUGGAGACACGGCCCAGACUCCUACGGGAGGCAGUAGUGGGGAAUAUUGAACAAUGGGCGCAAGCCUGAUGCAGCAAUGCCGCGUGUAUGAAGAAGGCCUUAGGGUUGUAAAGUACUUUCAGCGGGGAGGCGUUACCCGCAGAAGAAGCACCGGCUAACUCCGUGCCAGCCGCCGCGGUAAUAC
RNAcentral lists this ribosomal RNA (406 nucleotides) under uncultured bacterium. RNAcentral's name for it is "partial 16S ribosomal RNA". It matches the Rfam family "Bacterial small subunit ribosomal RNA", at positions 30 to 526 of the family's 1533-position model. The record is from RNAcentral.